CACUUGGGACAAAUCUGCCGGAAGCAGAUUUGAACGCUGCUUGCAGCGGCCCCGAAGGGGCGAGGCCCACGGAUGGGCCGAGUAGCACACUGUGCG
RNAcentral lists this non-coding RNA (96 nucleotides) under Serratia sp. DD3. RNAcentral describes it as "Aggregatibacter sRNA 22". It matches the Rfam family "Aggregatibacter sRNA 22". Lineage: Bacteria; Pseudomonadati; Pseudomonadota; Gammaproteobacteria; Enterobacterales; Yersiniaceae. The record is from Rfam by way of RNAcentral.